This is a non-coding RNA of Musa acuminata subsp. malaccensis (wild Malaysian banana), 579 nucleotides long. Lineage: Eukaryota; Viridiplantae; Streptophyta; Magnoliopsida; Zingiberales; Musaceae. The record is from RefSeq and is a predicted model, not a curated record.
UUUCUUUCAUGUUUAUUGAACAGAAUUUCUGGUGUUCUUUCAUCCUCUGCUUCAACUGCUGGUAUUCUGAAAGGCAUGAUUGCUCUCACAACAUGACCGUGUAAGCUCCCGAUUUCCUUUAUCAUGUUGAGGGAUAAAGAAGCUUCGCAUGCGAACAUCUUCGAGUGGAAGAGUGCAUAAUGCUGCCUGCAUCAAAGAAAGUUCAUGAUCCAUAAGUUGCUCUUAAUCACUACGGAGCAAAGAAAGUACAAUUACUACAGUGAGAUAUCAAUCUAAGACCGAAGCUUCAUUUGGACACACUUCAAGAACAAAAUUACAUCGCAGUGAUCUUAAUUGGUGAAGAACUACCGACCAUAACGCAAGAAGGAAGAAUGAGAGAGUUCCAUUACUAUUCACUACAGUGUAUCGCUUUGUAGCAUGUAUAAUUAAUUUCAUUUCAUCUACAAGCCAAAGGGGGAAAAAAGGGUCUGUAGAGGCGAUGAACGGAGAGUCUCCAGAAGCUCAACGAAGUUGGACAUCACCCAAUUCUGAUCACUCCAGACUAUGAAGUUUCUCAAUUUUAAGCAACAAUUUUUCUUU